UCGGACAGGGACGCUUUGACCUGCAGGCCCGCUCUACCUGGAAUAAUCACACUUCUCAGGCUCACAUCCUUACUGAUGGAUUCAGCAAAGGGCUCGAUAGAGUGGGCAGCCCUGCCAGACCCUGGAUCUGAUGGUGCAGACCCUGAACCACAAGAUUAUCUUGGAGGCCUCCGAGGCAGAGAGUGGGGCUUGCUGCCUCGACACCUCCUGGGGCUCCUCGGCGACAUUGACCCGAUUGUCUGUGCAUAGGGCGAUGAAACGGCUGUCCCAGAGCCGUGACCUCCGCAACUCCUGAGACCACACGAGCACAUUCGCCCAGGAAUACACACGGACUGAGACGAAAGAACUAUCGGGAUAACGAUACUCAGCGUGGUCCUGGAAAAGACAGCAUGUACAAACAGAAAACAGCUGUAAAUAGUGUCAAGAGGUGAAAUCAAGUGAUAAAGCUAAA
Molecule: long non-coding RNA, 451 nt
Organism: Stegostoma tigrinum
Lineage: Eukaryota; Metazoa; Chordata; Chondrichthyes; Orectolobiformes; Stegostomatidae
Exons: 3
Source: RefSeq, a predicted model, not a curated record